This 73-nucleotide transfer RNA is filed under the name Planctomycetaceae bacterium. RNAcentral describes it as "tRNA-Ala". It matches the Rfam family "tRNA". Rfam says of the family: Transfer RNA (tRNA) molecules are approximately 80 nucleotides in length. The record is from RNAcentral. Lineage: Bacteria; Pseudomonadati; Planctomycetota; Planctomycetia; Planctomycetales; Planctomycetaceae.
GGGGGAUUAGCUCAGUUGGGAGAGCGCGUGAAUGGCAUUCACGAGGUCAGGGGUUCGAGCCCCCUAUCCUCCA